Long non-coding RNA from Eubalaena glacialis (North Atlantic right whale), 1068 nucleotides. RefSeq lists it as uncharacterized. The record is from RefSeq and is a predicted model, not a curated record. The transcript is spliced from 3 exons. Lineage: Eukaryota; Metazoa; Chordata; Mammalia; Artiodactyla; Balaenidae.
UAAGAACACUUGAGUGAAGGAAUUUGAACAGUUUUGAAAGCAGCAGCAUGGAAACUUCAAUGAGGAUUGCAGCUAAGGGCAUGCCCAGAAGGCACGGGACUAACUGCGUCUAUCCUGCAGGCAAUAAGCAAUUGCUGAAGAUUCCAGACUUCUCAAAGUUCAGAGUUCAACGCGUAAAAACUUUGCUGAACUUGUGGUAGGCUGGGCUCUGUGUUUUGCAUCCUGUUUUCAGAGGCUCUCAGAGUCCCGGCAGUUUUUCUGUUUCUGUGCCGUCUCUGCACGGCGGGAACAAGGCUGAUUUUUUUCUCUUCAGCUUCCAUACCGAGGAGGUAUGCAUUAAACCCUCAGCUGCUUUCCUGGGGUAUGGUCUCUCCAGAGCUGGAGGGCAGGACAUCAGCAGGUGAAAAGCGUCUGUUUAUCGAAAUGAGAAGCAAAAGAUCUGCGUGGAAGCCCAGCUCUGUCCCCGUCUUGCUGUGUGACGUUGAUGGAGUCCUUCAGUGUGUCUAAGUCCCAGCUUCUUCCUCCGGCUUCUACUCCAGCUACCAGUUACCGAGUCCCUUCUACGUGCCAAUAAUACCUACCUCUCAACGGCACUGCACCCAAACCCAUGACUGAGCCCAUGCUAGGUGCUGGGGAGAGGAUGCUAAAUUACUCACUGUGUGGUCCCUCUUGGUCUAGCAGGCCACAGAGAGACCUGAACCAGUGCUUUAAUGGAAAGUGCCAGGUGUGUUCAUAGGGGCACAUACCACGUGCUAUGGGAGCUCAGAGAAGGGAGCAAUUCAUUCUUCCAGGGGGGGAUCCAGGAAAGGCCCAGAAGUGAGAGGAGAGGAUUGGAGCUGAUGAGCCAGUGAACAAGAAAGCAUUUUGCAAUUUUGGGGGGUUAGAAAAGCCACCCCAAGAAACGGUGAGGUAACUGGGCCGAGAUGAUUGCCAAACACCUGCAAGAUGCAGGCCUGGUGCCGUGAGCACGGAGGAGCCCGGUUAUCUACACAUGGGCCAUAUCUUUUGCAUCACCCUGAAGAAUCCUUGUUCUUUUGCCACUUCUCUGUUUUCUUAUCCCUAUGGUGC